UACGGAGGAUCCGAGCGUUAUCCGGAUUUAUUGGGUUUAAAGGGUGCGUAGGUGGAUUGGUAAGUCAGUGGUGAAAGUUUGCAGCUUAACUGUAAAAUUGCCGUUGAAACUGCCGGUCUCGAGUGCAAAUGAGGUAGGCGGAAUGCGUCGUGUAGCGGUGAAAUGCUUAGAUAUGACGCAGAACUCCGAUUGCGAAGGCAGCUUACUGGGAUGCAACUGACGCUGAGGCACGAAAGCGUGGGGAGCAAACAGGAUUAGAUA
RNAcentral lists this ribosomal RNA (261 nucleotides) under uncultured prokaryote. RNAcentral describes it as "partial 16S ribosomal RNA". It matches the Rfam family "Bacterial small subunit ribosomal RNA", at positions 524 to 784 of the family's 1533-position model. The record is from RNAcentral.